AUUGAACGCUGGCGGCAGGCUUAACACAUGCAAGUCGAGCGGUAGCACAGGGGAGCUUGCUCCCUGGGUGACGAGCGGCGGACGGGUGAGUAAUGUCUGGGAAACUGCCUGAUGGAGGGGGAUAACUACUGGAAACGGUAGCUAAUACCGCAUAAUGUCGCAAGACCAAAGUGGGGGACCUUCGGGCCUCACACCAUCGGAUGUGCCCAGAUGGGAUUAGCUAGUAGGUGGGGUAAUGGCUCACCUAGGCGACGAUCCCUAGCUGGUCUGAGAGGAUGACCAGCCACACUGGAACUGAGACACGGUCCAGACUCCUACGGGAGGCAGCAGUGGGGAAUAUUGCACAAUGGGCGCAAGCCUGAUGCAGCCAUGCCGCGUGUGUGAAGAAGGCCUUAGGGUUGUGAAGCACUUUCAGCGAGGAGGAAGGGUGGUGUGUUAAUAGCACAUCACAUUGACGUUACUCGCAGAAGAAGCACCGGCUAACUCCGUGCCAGCCGCCGCCGUAA
This 506-nucleotide ribosomal RNA is filed under the name uncultured bacterium. RNAcentral describes it as "partial 16S ribosomal RNA". It matches the Rfam family "Bacterial small subunit ribosomal RNA", at positions 30 to 523 of the family's 1533-position model. The record is from RNAcentral.